CCUACGGGUGACAGCAGUGGGGAAUAUUGGUCAAUGGAGGAAACUCUGAACCAGCAACGCCGCGUGAAUGAUGAAGGUCUUCGGAUUGUAAAGUUCUUUUCUAAGGGAAGAAGAAAGUGAGAGUACCCGAAGAAAAAGCAUCGGCUAACUCCGUGCCAGCAGCCGCGGUAAUACGGAGGAUGCGAGCGUUAUCCGGAUUUAUUGGGUUUAAAGGGUGCGCAGGCGGAGGUGCAAGUCAGCGGUCAAAUUGCGGGGCUCAACCCCGUACUGCCGUUGAAACUGCAUCCCUUGAGUGCGCGAGAAGUAUGCGGAAUGCGUGGUGUAGCGGUGAAAUGCAUAGAUAUCACGCAGAACUCCGAUUGCGAAGGCAGCAUACCGGCGCGCAACUGACGCUCAUGCACGAAAGCGUGGGUAUCGAACAGGAUUAGAUACCCUAGUAGUC
This 442-nucleotide ribosomal RNA is filed under the name uncultured bacterium. Its description in RNAcentral is "partial 16S ribosomal RNA". It matches the Rfam family "Bacterial small subunit ribosomal RNA", at positions 338 to 795 of the family's 1533-position model. The record is from RNAcentral.